UUUGAUGCGAAAAUAUGAAAAUUAUAUUUUUCGAAACUUGAUCAAGUUAACACUAAAUAGAUUAACAAUCACCAAAGAUGAAUAUGAUGGUACACAAGGUAUUCAAUUGAUUCAGUUAUAUAAUCAAUGCGGUGUGUUUAUACAACGCUUCAAUAUAGUUAAUUCUAACCUUAAUUAUUUAUCAGAAUUUAAUCACCAAAUCGGCUCAA
Molecule: long non-coding RNA, 209 nt
Filed under: Lathyrus oleraceus (garden pea)
Lineage: Eukaryota; Viridiplantae; Streptophyta; Magnoliopsida; Fabales; Fabaceae
Description: Pisum sativum (pea) long non-coding RNA (PSAT_LNC017121)
Source: RNAcentral